AAAUUGAAGAGUUUGAUCAUGGCUCAGAUUGAACGCUGGCGGCAGGCCUAACACAUGCAAGUCGAACGGUAACAGGAAGCAGCUUGCUGCUUCGCUGACGAGUGGCGGACGGGUGAGUAAUGUCUGGGAAACUGCCUGAUGGAGGGGGAUAACUACUGGAAACGGUAGCUAAUACCGCAUAACGUCGCAAGACCAAAGAGGGGGACCUUCGGGCCUCUUGCCAUCGGAU
RNAcentral lists this ribosomal RNA (229 nucleotides) under Shigella sonnei. RNAcentral describes it as "partial 16S ribosomal RNA". It matches the Rfam family "Bacterial small subunit ribosomal RNA", at positions 1 to 226 of the family's 1533-position model. The record is from RNAcentral. Lineage: Bacteria; Pseudomonadati; Pseudomonadota; Gammaproteobacteria; Enterobacterales; Enterobacteriaceae.